This 255-nucleotide ribosomal RNA is filed under the name uncultured bacterium. RNAcentral's name for it is "partial 16S ribosomal RNA". It matches the Rfam family "Bacterial small subunit ribosomal RNA", at positions 524 to 776 of the family's 1533-position model. The record is from RNAcentral.
UACGGGGGGAGCAAGCGUUGUUCGGAUUUACUGGGCGUAAAGGGCGCGUAGGCGGUCAGCACAAGUCAGUUGUGAAAUCUCCGGGCUUAACCCGGAAAGGUCAACUGAUACUGUGCGACUAGAGUGCGGAAGGGGCAACUGGAAUUCUCGGUGUAGCGGUGAAAUGCGUAGAUAUCGAGAGGAACACCAAUGGCGAAGGCAGCUCGCUGGGACGGUUACUGACGCUGAGACGCGAAAGCGUGGGGAGCAAACAGG